GUAGGUGGCAAGCGUUGUCCGGAAUUAUUGGGCGUAAAGCGCGCGCAGGCGGUCCUUUAAGUCUGAUGUGAAAGCCCACGGCUCAACCGUGGAGGGUCAUUGGAAACUGGGGGACUUGAGUACAGAAGAGGAAAGCGGAAUUCCAAGUGUAGCGGUGAAAUGCGUAGAGAUUUGGAGGAACACCAGUGGCGAAGGCGGCUUUCUGGUCUGUAACUGACGCUGAGGCGUGAAAGCGUGGGGAGCAAACAGGGAUUAGAUACCCUGGUAGUCCACGCCGUAAACGAUGAGUGCUAAGUGUUAGGGGGUUUCCCGCCCCUUAGUGCUGCAGCUAACGCAUUAAGCACUCCGCCUGGGGAGUACGGCCGCAAGGCUG
RNAcentral lists this ribosomal RNA (373 nucleotides) under uncultured organism. RNAcentral's name for it is "partial 16S ribosomal RNA". It matches the Rfam family "Bacterial small subunit ribosomal RNA", at positions 527 to 896 of the family's 1533-position model. The record is from RNAcentral.